UGUUACUCCAGUAUGGGUGUGAUCCCAAAAGCAACGUGGGAUGGUGGAUGCUAACCAGCCCCAAGCCUAAACCUUCGCAGUGAGCAGAUCUGUUUUAUAAGCAUGAUAACUGUUUUGGAAUAGAGUUUUUAUUAAGCCUCUACUUUGAAGUACAUUGCCAAGUUACGGAAUAAAUGAUUAUGACUCCUUUCCCAAGUUCUCCUUUCACAAUAUAGUAUCUAUAAUUGACCUUAUGAUCUGUUGACUUGUUAUUCUAUAGAAGACUUAAUAUUUCUUUGAUGAAGGGAACCCAAAAAAAAAGACUGUUUUCCUACUGGCCAUAGAUACAUGGGCAAA
This 336-nucleotide long non-coding RNA is filed under the name Bos taurus (domestic cattle). RNAcentral's name for it is "long non-coding RNA NONBTAT022441". The record is from RNAcentral. Lineage: Eukaryota; Metazoa; Chordata; Mammalia; Artiodactyla; Bovidae.